UGCUAUACAUGCAGUCGAACGAGUUCUCGUUGAUGAUCGGUGCUUGCACCGAGAUUCAACAUGGAACGAGUGGCGGACGGGUGAGUAACACGUGGGUAACCUGCCCUUAAGUGGGGGAUAACAUUUGGAAACAGAUGCUAAUACCGCAUAGAUCCAAGAACCGCAUGGUUCUUGGCUGAAAGAUGGCGUAAGCUAUCGCUUUUGGAUGGACCCGCGGCGUAUUAGCUAGUUGGUGAGGUAAUGGCUCACCAAGGCGAUGAUACGUAGCCGAACUGAGAGGUUGAUCGGCCACAUUGGGACUGAGACACGGCCCAAACUCCUACGGGAGGCAGCAGUAGGGAAUCUUCCACAAUGGACGCAAGUCUGAUGGAGCAACGCCGCGUGAGUGAAGAAGGCUUUCGGGUCGUAAAACUCUGUUGUUGGAGAAGAAUGGUCGGCAGAGUAACUGUUGUCGGCGUGACGGUAUCCAACCAGAAAGCCACGGCUAACUACGUGCCAGCAGCCGCGGUAAUACGUAGGUGGCAAGCGUUAUCCGGAUUUAUUGGGCGUAAAGCGAGCGCAGGCGGUUUUUUAAGUCUGAUGUGAAAGCCCUCGGCUUAACCGAGGAAGCGCAUCGGAAACUGGGAAACUUGAGUGCAGAAGAGGACAGUGGAACUCCAUGUGUAGCGGUGAAAUGCGUAGAUAUAUGGAAGAACACCAGUGGCGAAGGCGGCUGUCUGGUCUGUAACUGACGCUGAGGCUCGAAAGCAUGGGUAGCGAACAGGAUUAGAUACCCUGGUAGUCCAUGCCGUAAACGAUGAAUGCUAGGUGUUGGAGGGUUUCCGCCCUUCAGUGCCGCAGCUAACGCAUUAAGCAUUCCGCCUGGGGAGUACGACCGCAAGGUUGAAACUCAAAGGAAUUGACGGGGGCCCGCACAAGCGGUGGAGCAUGUGGUUUAAUUCGAAGCAACGCGAAGAACCUUACCAGGUCUUGACAUCUUUUGAUCACCUGAGAGAUCAGGUUUCCCCUUCGGGGGCAAAAUGACAGGUGGUGCAUGGUUGUCGUCAGCUCGUGUCGUGAGAUGUUGGGUUAAGUCCCGCAACGAGCGCAACCCUUAUGACUAGUUGCCAGCAUUUAGUUGGGCACUCUAGUAAGACUGCCGGUGACAAACCGGAGGAAGGUGGGGAUGACGUCAAAUCAUCAUGCCCCUUAUGACCUGGGCUACACACGUGCUACAAUGGAUGGUACAACGAGUUGCGAGACCGCGAGGUCAAGCUAAUCUCUUAAAGCCAUUCUCAGUUCGGACUGUAGGCUGCAACUCGCCUACACGAAGUCGGAAUCGCUAGUAAUCGCGGAUCAGCACGCCGCGGUGAAUACGUUCCCGGGCCUUGUACACACCGCCCGUCACACCAUGAGAGUUUGUAACACCCGAAGCCGGUGGCGUAACCCUUUUAGGGAGCGAGCCGUCUAAGGUG
Molecule: ribosomal RNA, 1454 nt
Filed under: Lacticaseibacillus paracasei
Lineage: Bacteria; Bacillati; Bacillota; Bacilli; Lactobacillales; Lactobacillaceae
Description: bacterial SSU rRNA
Rfam family: Bacterial small subunit ribosomal RNA
Source: RNAcentral